UCAAGUAAUGAAGUGCACAUGGUGGAUGCCUUGGCAGUCAGAGGCGAUGAAAGACGUGAUAGCCUGCGAUAAGCGUCGGUGAGGUGGCAAUAUCCUGUGACCCGGCGAUUUCUGAAUGGGGAAACCCACUUAUCAUAAGAUAAGUAUCUUACUUUGUAAGAGGCAAACCGGGAGAAGUGAAACAUCUCAGUACCCCGAGGAAAAGACAUCAAUUGAGAUUCCCCAAGUAGCGGCGAGCGAACGGGGAGUAGCCGAUCAAUUUUGUGGUAGUAAAAUGGCGUGGGAAAGCCAACCGUAGUAGGUGAUAGUCCUGUAUACGAAACUGCAAAUGCGACAUAUUAAGUAGGGCGAGACACGUGAAAUCUUGUCUGAAGAUGGGGGGACCAUCCUCCAAGGCUAAAUACUCCUGACUGACCGAUAGUGAACCAGUACCGUGAGGGAAAGGCGAAAAGAACCCCUGUUAGGGGAGUGAAAUAGAACCUGAAACCGUGUGCAUACAAGCAGUCGGAGCCCAUUUAUUGGGUGACGGCGUACCUUUUGUAUAAUGGGUCAGCGACUUAUAUUUUGUAGCAAGGUUAACCGUUUAGGGGAGCCGUAGGGAAACCGAGUCUUAAUAGGGCGUUUAGUUGCAAGGUAUAGACCCGAAACCGAGUGAUCUAUCCAUGAGCAGGUUGAAAGUGUCGUAACAGAUACCGGAGGACCGAACCCACUGUCGUUGAAAAGCCAGGGGAUGACUUGUGGAUAGGGGUGAAAGGCUAAUCAAACUCGGUGAUAGCUGGUUCUCCCCGAAAGCUAUUUAGGUAGCGCCUCGGACGAAUACCAUGGGGGGUAGAGCACUGUUUCGGCUAGGGGGUCAUCCCGACUUACCAAACCGAUGCAAACUCCGAAUACCCAUGAGUACUAUCCGGGAGACAGACGGCGGGUGCUAACGUCCGUCGUCAAGAGGGAAACAACCCAGACCGCCAGCUAAGGCCCCAAAUUCCUAGUUAAGUGGGAAACGAUGUGGGAAGGCAUAGACAGCUAGGAGGUUGGCUUAGAAGCAGCCACCCUUUAAAGAAAGCGUAAUAGCUCACUAGUCGAGUCGGCCUGCGCGGAAGAUGUAACGGGGCUCAAACUAGGAGCCGAAGCUGCGGAUUUAAUUGUUUCAAUUAAGUGGUAGGGGAGCGUUGUGUAAGCCUGUGAAGGUGUGCUGUAAGGCAUGCUGGAGGUAUCACAAGAGCGAAUGCUGACGUGAGUAACGACAAAACGGGUGAAAAGCCCGUUCGCCGGAAGACCAAGGGUUCCAGUCCAACGUUAAUCGGGGCUGGGUGAGUCGACCCCUAAGGCGAGGCCGAAAGGCGUAGUCGAUGGGAAAUUGGUUAAUAUUCCAAUACUUGUUUAUGAUGCGAUGGAGGGACGGAGAAGGUUAUGUCAGCCUGGCGUUGGUUGUCCAGGUGAAAAGAUGUAGAUAGGUUUAGUAGGCAAAUCCGCUAGACUAUUAUUGAGAUCUGAUAGCAAGCUGUACAUGUACAGCGAAGUGGCAAAUACCCUGCUUCCAGGAAAAGCUUCUAAGCGAUAGUUAUAAACAAAUCGUACCCGAAACCGACACAGGUGGUCAGGUAGAGAAUAC
This 1609-nucleotide ribosomal RNA is filed under the name metagenome. RNAcentral's name for it is "bacterial LSU rRNA". It matches the Rfam family "Bacterial large subunit ribosomal RNA", at positions 3 to 1681 of the family's 2925-position model. The record is from RNAcentral.